Oncorhynchus tshawytscha (Chinook salmon) is the source of this 874-nucleotide long non-coding RNA. The record is from Ensembl. NCBI's taxonomy places the organism in Eukaryota, Metazoa, Chordata, Actinopteri, Salmoniformes, Salmonidae.
CCGUGCUCUUUAGGAAUGACAUCAUUUAUAUGUAGACUAAAGAGCAGUUCAUUGUCUUACUUCAGCUGGCGUGAUGGCCGUCUGCACUGAGCUGUCUGAGAACUCGUAAACACUCAUGGGACAGCUUAAAAAGAAGUCUGGCUGUCCUAACAUUCCAUAUGCUGUCCUAACAUUCCAUAUGCUGUCCAAACAUUCCAUAUGCUUUUCAAACAUUCCAUAUGCUGUCCUAACAUUCCAUAUGCUGUCCUAACAUUCCAUAUGCUGUCCUAACAUUCCAUAUGCUGUCCUAACAUUCCAUAUGCUGUUCAAACAUUCCAUAUACUGUCCUAACAUUCCAUAGAGCAGGUGGGAGAGCAGGUGUUAUAGACUGUAGACCAGGUGUUAUAGACUGUAGCCCAGGUGUUAUAGACUAGAGAGCAGGUGUUAUAGACUGUAGAGCAGGUGUUAUAGACUGUAGACCAGGUGUUAUAGACUGUAGAGCAGGUGUUAUAGACUAGAGAGCAGGUGUUAUAGACUGUAGAGCAGGUGUUAUAGACUGUAGAGCAGGUGUUAUAGACUGGAGAGCAGGUGUUAUAGACUAGAGAGCAGGUGUUAUAGACCGUAGAGCAGGUGUUAUAGACUAGAGAGCAGGUGUUAUAGACUAGACCAGGUGUUAUAGACCUAAUCAGGUGUUAUAGACUAGUGAGUAGGUGUUAUAGACUAGACCAGGUGUUAUAGACCUAAUCAGGUGUUAUAGACUAUAUCAGGUGUUAUAGGCUAGAGCAGGUGUUAUAGACUAGACUAGGUGUUAAAGACUAGAGAGUAGGUGUUAUAGACUAGACUAGGUGUUAUAGACUAGAGAGUAUGUGUUAUAGACUAGAUUGCACGUGUUAUA